UUGUAUCUUAGUGGCGGACGGGCGAGUAACGCGUGAGGAACCUGCCCUUCAGUGGGGAAUAACGGCUGGAAACGGUCGCUAAUACCGCAUGACACAUUGGUACCGCAUGAUACUGAUGUCAAAGGAGCAAUCCGCUGAAGGAUGGCCUUGCGUCCGAUUAGCUAGUUGGUGGGGUAACGGCCUACCAAGGCGACGAUCGGUAGCCGAACUGAGAGGUUGAUCGGCCGCAUUGGGACUGAGACACGGCCCAGACUCCUACGGGAGGCAGCAGUGGGGGAUAUUGGUCAAUGGGGGAAACCCUGAACCAGCAACGCCGCGUGAGGGAAGACGGCCUUCGGGUUGUAAACCUAAGUGAUCAGGGACGAAGGAAGUGACGGUACCUGAAAAGCAAGCUCCGGCUAACUACGUGCCAGCAGCCGCGGUAAUACGUAGGGAGCGAGCGUUGUCCGGAUUUACUGGGUGUAAAGGGUGCGUAGGCGGGAAAGCAAGUCAGGUGUGAAAUACCGGGGCUCAACUCCGGGGCUGCGCUUGAAACUGUUUUUCUUGAGUGAAGUAGAGGCAGGCGGAAUUCCUAGUGUAGCGGUGGAAUGCGUAGAUAUUAGGAGGAACACCAGUGGCGAAGGCGGCCUGCUGGGCUUUAACUGACGCUGAGGCACGAAAGCAUGGGGAGCAAACAGGAUUAGAUACCCUGGUAGUCCAUGCUGUAAACGAUGAUUGCUAGGUGUGGGGGGACUGACCCCUUCCGGGCCGGAGUAAACACAAUAAGCAAUCCACCUGGGGAGUACGACCGCAAGGUUGAAACUCAAAGGAAUUGACGGGGGCCCGCACAAGCAGUGGAGCAUGUGGUUUAAUUCGAAGCAACGCGAAGAACCUUACCUGCCCUUGACAUCCGAAUGACCGGUGAGUAAUGUCACCUUUCCUUCGGGACAUUCGAGACAGGUGGUGCAUGGUUGUCGUCAGCUCGUGUCGUGAGAUGUUGGGUUAAGUCCCGCAACGAGCGCAACCCUUAUCUUUAGUAGCCAGCAUUUAGGAUGGGCACUCUAGAGAGACUGCCAGGGAUAACCUGGAGGAAGGUGGGGAUGACGUCAAAUCAUCAUGCCCCUUAUGGGCAGGGCUACACACGUGCUACAAUGGUGUAAACAAAGGGAAGCAGAGUCGUGAGGCCGAGCAAAUCUCAAAAAUAACGUCUCAGUUCGGAUUGUAGUCUGCAACUCGACUACAUGAAGCUGGAAUCGCUAGUAAUCGCGAAUCAGAAUGUCGCGGUGAAUAAAAUCCCGGGUCUUGUACACACCGCCCGUCA
This 1300-nucleotide ribosomal RNA is filed under the name uncultured bacterium. Its description in RNAcentral is "bacterial SSU rRNA". It matches the Rfam family "Bacterial small subunit ribosomal RNA", at positions 85 to 1399 of the family's 1533-position model. The record is from RNAcentral.